This 293-nucleotide ribosomal RNA is filed under the name uncultured eukaryote. RNAcentral describes it as "partial 18S ribosomal RNA". It matches the Rfam family "Eukaryotic small subunit ribosomal RNA", at positions 6 to 299 of the family's 1831-position model. The record is from RNAcentral.
GGUUGAUCCUGCCAGUAGUCAUAUGCUUGUCCCAAAGAUUAAGCCAUGCAUGUCCAAGUAUAAACAAGUCUAUACAGUGAAACUGCGAAUGGCUCAUUAUAUCAGUUAUAAUUUAUUUGAUAGUCUCUUACUACUCGGAUAACCGUGGUAAUUCUAGAGCUAAUACGUGCACAAGGCCCGACUCCUCGGGGAAGGGCUGUAUUUAUUAGAUAAAAAACCAGUGCCAGCGAUGGCUCCCGGUGAUUCAUAAUAACUUUGCGGAUCGUACGGCCCCGUGCCGACGACGUUUCAUU